This is a long non-coding RNA of Danaus plexippus (monarch butterfly), 693 nucleotides long. RefSeq lists it as uncharacterized. The record is from RefSeq and is a predicted model, not a curated record. The transcript has 2 exons. Lineage: Eukaryota; Metazoa; Arthropoda; Insecta; Lepidoptera; Nymphalidae.
UUCUCCCCUAUACCUGGCUUAAAUAAUAAUGACGGGAUCCUAUGUAGAUUUUUUUAUAUCGAAUAAAGACAGUCAGAACAAAAACAAAUCUCUUACUUAUGAUGAACAAAAAAUAGCACUACAAUCUAUACUAAUAUUAUAAAGCUGCAGACUUUGUUUUUUGUUGUUUGAACGAGCUAAUCUCGGGACUACUGGUUGAUUAUAUAUUGAGAAAAAAAAAUCCUUAUACUUGAUUAAUAGUUUAAACUUUGAUACAGAAUUUAAUAGAUAAGUGAUAGUUUAAACUAUUUACAAAGUGCAUUUGACGGUUACACCUCUUAAAUACAAUAAAAAUUUUGAAAGGAUAUAAAAAAAAAUCACAUAAUCAAUAUUUUAUUUUGAUCUGCAUCAUGAAUAUGUGUAAAAAAGUCAACGUUGCUCUACAGAAUAAAGGACAUACAAAUAUAUCAAAUUUUUAUAAUAAGUGGCCCUCAGUCUUCCUAUACUUUAAGACCUGAAAAUUGUACCAUCAAAUGAAAAAAGCACCUUCCUUAAUAUUAUGGAGAAAACUUGGCGUAUCCUAUUAUCUGCAGUUCAUUCAUAAAAAACAUGUAUUGGACUUUGGAUUGACUGCUCUGCAUACCAACUAAACAACCGAACUGAGUAUGUAUGUGUGUCCUUUCUUUUUUCCUUGUUUAAAUUGGCUAGAGGAAU